UACGGGGGGGGCAAGCGUUGUUCGGAAUUACUGGGCGUAAAGGGCUGGUAGGCGGCCAACUAAGUCGGAUGUGAAAUCCCCAGGCUUAACCUGGGAACUGCAUCCGAUACUGGUCGGCUUGAAUCCGGGAGAGGGAUGCAGAAUUCCAGGUGUAGCGGUGAAAUGCGUAGAUAUCAGGAAGAACACCCGUGGCUAAGGCGGCUCUCUAGUACGGUACUGACGCUGAGACGCGAAAGCGUGGGGAGCGAACAGG
This 253-nucleotide ribosomal RNA is filed under the name uncultured bacterium. Its description in RNAcentral is "partial 16S ribosomal RNA". It matches the Rfam family "Bacterial small subunit ribosomal RNA", at positions 524 to 776 of the family's 1533-position model. The record is from RNAcentral.